GAUGAACGCUGGCGGCGUGCCUAAUACAUGCAAGUCGAGCGAACGGACGAGAAGCUUGCUUCUCUGAUGUUAGCGGCGGACGGGUGAGUAACACGUGGAUAACCUACCUAUAAGACUGGGAUAACUUCGGGAAACCGGAGCUAAUACCGGAUAAUAUUUUGAACCGCAUGGUUCAAAAGUGAAAGACGGUCUUGCUGUCACUUAUAGAUGGAUCCGCGCUGCAUUAGCUAGUUGGUAAGGUAACGGCUUAUCAAGGCAACGAUGCAUGGCCGACCGGAGAGGGUGAUCGGCCACACUGGAACUGAGACACGGUCCAGACUCCUACGGGAGGCAGCAGUAGGGAAUCUUCCGCAAUGGGCGAAAGCCUGACGGAGCAACGCCGCGUGAGUGAUGAAGGUCUUCGGAUCGUAAAACUCUGUUAUUAGGGAAGAACAUAUGUGUAAGUAACUGUGCACAUCGUGACGGUACCUAAUCAGAAAGCCACGGCUAACUACGUG
RNAcentral lists this ribosomal RNA (497 nucleotides) under uncultured bacterium. RNAcentral's name for it is "partial 16S ribosomal RNA". It matches the Rfam family "Bacterial small subunit ribosomal RNA", at positions 28 to 507 of the family's 1533-position model. The record is from RNAcentral.